Molecule: ribosomal RNA, 484 nt
Filed under: uncultured bacterium
Lineage: Bacteria
Description: partial 16S ribosomal RNA
Rfam family: Bacterial small subunit ribosomal RNA
Source: RNAcentral
AUUGAACGCUGGCGGCAGGCCUAACACAUGCAAGUCGAGCGGAUGAAGGGAGCUUGCUCCUGGAUUCAGCGGCGGACGGGUGAGUAAUGCCUAGGAAUCUGCCUGGUAGUGGGGGAUAACGUCCGGAAACGGGCGCUAAUACCGCAUACGUCCUGAGGGAGAAAGUGGGGGAUCUUCGGACCUCACGCCAUCAGAUGAGCCUAGGUCGGAUUAGCUAGUUGGUGGGGUAAAGGCCUACCAAGGCGACGAUCCGUAACUGGUCUGAGAGGAUGAUCAGUCACACUGAAACUGAGACACGGUCCAGACUCCUACAGGAGGCAGCAGUGUGGAAUAUUGGACAAUGGGCGAAAGCCUGAUCCAGCCAUGCCGCGUGUGUGAAGAAGGUCUUCGGAUUGUAAAGCACUUUAAGUUGGGAGAAAGGGCAGUAAGUUAAUACCUUGCUGUUUUGACGUUACCAACAGAAUAAGCACCGGCUAACUUCGUG